AAGAGCCAUCUUCUGGAGGGAGAAGAAUGAUGAGAUAAGAAUGAAGACAUUAGUACAAACCGAAGGAGCCCAACCAUCCCAGGAAACAGCAGGCUCUUAAUAGAAGAAGAAAUCUUCUAUAAUCAUGAUUCGGUGUAAAAUGACAGAAUUUUGCAGAUUUCACACUCCAAAAUGGGAUUGCUAAUGAAUAUGCUAAGAAAAAACUCAAGGAAAACUUCAAAAAAGUGGAGGAAUCAAGAAUCAGCAGUUGGCAUAUAGCCAGCAAAGAGGCGAUGACAAGAGGGGAUGAAGGGAAGAGAGAAGACACAGAGUGGGUGGACUCACAGGAGACGGUGGCGGAAGGUUUCAGGAGGAGGUUGGAAGCCAGUGGUCAGCUAAAUGCCUUGGUGAUAGAAUAUUGCUGAUUUUACUGCCUGACCUGAGCUUCUUCUAAAUGCCCGGUUACAGGCAACUGUGUGUUUUACCAUCCCCGAAAUAGUUAAGAGCAAAGACUGUCCUGGCAUAAAGGUAUGAAUAACCAAUGAAAAUGUGCUUUGAUGAUGUAAUGGUUUUGAGAUAACUUUUCAUUGGUUGGAUAUAUUUUUAUUCAGUGUUUUUGCUUCCCAGAGUAAGGCUAGAUUGUUUCUAGGUGAAUCCUGAUAGAACUGCAGUUAGCUUGCUCCUGCUCUUGUAGGUACAUUUUAAUAUGGUUGGUUAGUCUCUCUAUUAAAGCUAAGUACUGUAGUUCACAUGCCAAUUCUUAAAUCUGCAUUGCCUCUUUUUGAACAUAUAAACAUCCCAAAUCAUUAAGAAAUGAGGUACAGGUUACAUCGAGAACCAUUUUUCCAAAUGCCCUUCAACUGAGAAUGUGAUAAACGGCUUCUGAAAAUGAGCUCUAGAUGCAAAGAGGGGCUUUCAGCCUGCUGGAUGACAAAACAUUCCAAUUUUCAAUGUUUAUUAUCUUCUGCCUGUAUUUGACAGAUAGGAAGAUGCAAGAGAAGCAGUGUUGCCUAGGGGAUAGAGCACGGGCCUGGGAGUCAGAGGAUCUGGAUUCUAAUCUUGGCUCUGCCUCUUACCUAUAUGACCUUGGGAAAGUCACUUAACUUCUCUGCACCUCAGUUACCUAAUCUGUAAGGUGGGGAUUAAGACUGUGACUCCUGUGUGGGACCUGGACUGUGUCCAACUUGAUUAGCUUGUACCUACCCCAGUGCUUAGAAGAAUACCUGGCAUAUUGUAAGUGUUUAACAAAUACCAUAAAAAAAAAGAGGGCAGGUCAGCUUCAGCUCUUUGAAGUACUUUAAAUACAAGGGCACAAGGGAAAUCUGGUUAUAUUUAAGGUACAUUUUAAGAAUACAUAACCGUAAGAUCUCAAUGCCAUGUUUCACAUAUUGAGACCAUGUUAAUCUUUAUUCUAUGUGAUGGAGUAUUUCUAAAUGUGCUGCAGUAUGCAUAGUGACCUAACGAUAUUAGGGCUCAAUUAAACUAUCCCAAAUCCAGU
This is a long non-coding RNA of Ornithorhynchus anatinus (platypus), 1477 nucleotides long. RefSeq lists it as uncharacterized. NCBI's taxonomy places the organism in Eukaryota, Metazoa, Chordata, Mammalia, Monotremata, Ornithorhynchidae. The transcript is spliced from 3 exons. The record is from RefSeq and is a predicted model, not a curated record.